UUCCUAAAAAAGAAAAAAUACAUUAUUAAUUGUUAAAAGUAAUACAGUUGAUAAUUAUAUGUGGAACUUACCUUGGAGUAGGGGCAUCUCACACUAUUAGGAUUAGGGGGGUGGGAAUGUGAGCUUAAGUUAUUACUUUGCAUCACUUUUAGUCUUCAGGAAGCCACCAUGUUGACACUUAAUUGCCCACACUUCUUAUUCCUGCAGUAUAUUAUACAAUAAGUAUGCUAAAACAUAUACACACUUACUGUGUAUACUGUGCAAAAGGCGAUAGAGAGAGUGUCAGAGCGCUGUCGUGCUAGCCAGUAUGGGGACUUUUAUCAUGAAACGCGCUUAUCGCGGAUAGCCGGAAGAAACGCUGUUCAUUACUCGGAGAUCGGCAGACUGCCUCCGCCACUGCUCGCGAUCGGGUUUUCUGCUUAAACUAGUGUUGGAGACGUGCAUCGUCAUUAAUAUCAGCCACAGUUUGGAUGUAAUCUGUGUUGUGUGCGUCCUAUAAGAGAGAAACCACACCGUCCACCACAAUCAUACAUCUCAUGCUUCUACUGAUAUGUACCCAGCCCUCUCAAGAAGACAAGAUCUGUGAAAGACAGUACUUAAUUCUCCCUCUAACUGGCUCACGCCUCCCAUCAUUCUCAGCAACCCCUGUAUGCUUAUUAGCAGUGGUCCCAGAGCCUAUACUGAGCAGAGAGUAUUCAUUCCUCUGGAUGUUUCCAAGGAGGCCUCCUUGUCUCUAUCACAUACACCACUUUGGGCCCACUGCAGUCCUCAAGUCUAUCUGUCCACAUCCUGUUAGUAGGAACUGACUGAUGUGCAUGUAAAGGCUGACUCCCCUCUCUGAUUUGAUUAUACCGCAUCUGUGAAAAUAAACCUGUUCAAACUGCUACUUCCCUCUGUGGUGUUCUGACCGACACACCUGGUUCACUGCGAUUCAAGCUAGCCCUAACAGUAUAAGGUAGCCCUUCGCUACAUAUACUGAGACUCAAAGCACCAGGGGUGGGGACUAAGAUCCUGUCACUUCUAGGUCUUCCAGGGUAACGUUGUAGUAUUCCCCUACUAGGCGGGACCUAAGAGCCUGUUACAAUAAUUUACGAGUUGGCUAUUUCGUAUGGUCUAGCAUGAUGUUGUUGGCAUAAACUCCUACAACUUCAUCACAUGCAAAUUCUCUGAUGUCUAAUGCGGAAGUAAACGUGAGUUCCGCGCAUGAGGCGUUAAGGACAUUCUUAUUAAAAUUAUACCCUUACCCAAACCCCUUAUCUAAACUUAUCCAAUCAGUAGAGUGUGUAAACAUGAUAGGAAGCUGUUGUGUGUGACGGAAGCAAGCAAUUGUCACAUAUUAGAUGGAAAGGAUGUCCAGCGACGUCACUGGCUGUAGUGAAAUUCGUAGGAAUUCAGACCAGUGCAGUCGCACAAUAUCAUACGAACUAGCCAAAUUUAGAAGAUUCAUAUGAAUCCUGACGAUUUCGCCAUGAGAGUGUGUUGCGUAAAACCGUCCACAAGUUGAAAUGUAAGUAGGAAAAGCUGUAAUAUCUGCUUGUUUUGGGGUGACAACACAUCCUUUCCCUCAGAGGGAAAGUCAGACCGGGAUUUUUAAAUUGCCUAAAAUGCCAGGGAUUUGCCUGUUUUCAUAUUGAAGUGCUCUCUGUAGUCAUAUAUGGAUACAUGUAAUGAAUAACGUGUUCUUUUGCCAUUUAAACCUAGCAUAUUAGUUAAGCUUUGUGUGUCUCCCUCAAUCUCAGCGCCCACUGCACGUGUGAUAGAGGGAGAGAGAGAGAGCGCACUCUUAUUCAAGUAACUACGAGAAAAAGGCACUUUUUGAUGAAAAUAUAAAACAAGUAACCUUGAACAAACACUUCGAUGUUUGCAAUAAAUAUGUCUGAAAAUGU
This is a long non-coding RNA of Myxocyprinus asiaticus (Chinese sucker), 1886 nucleotides long. RefSeq lists it as uncharacterized. NCBI's taxonomy places the organism in Eukaryota, Metazoa, Chordata, Actinopteri, Cypriniformes, Catostomidae. The record is from RefSeq and is a predicted model, not a curated record. The transcript is spliced from 2 exons.